UAGUUAGGACUAGGUGGAGACUUGUAUUUGGGAUUGGGAAUGUGUAUGGAAUGUGAUAAUAGGUUUUUAAGAUCAAUUAAUCCUAAAGCACUAUCAUGUCGUUGUAGCACUGAAGGUUGUCAAUCCAAAUGGGUGUGAUGCUAACAAUCAAGAUGUGAUCAGAAGUCACUAAGUCAAGCCAAGCAAUAACAGGUUUUGGUGUGUUCUAGCAGUCCUAAGUGAAUAUGCAGAAAACAGAAAAUCAAACAGAAACAGCAAAACACUCGACCAACACAGCUCUGUGCAGAGCAAUGGAUGAGGUCGAGUGACAGGUCGAGUAACAGGCAGAAAGUGAAACAGGGAUACUCGACUGCACAGUCUGAAGCCAGACAACUGGGUGGUCGAGUAUCAGGUCGAGUAACAGGAAAGAAUUGCAGAAACUAAGCAACAGAGAACAAGAUGCAGUAAACAACAGUAGAGUAAACAAAGAAUUCAAUCAGAUAAAGAAUUCCUAAGGAUGGGGUAAUUGAGUAAUUUCAUUUCCUCAGUUUACAGGUGAUUGACAUGCUCAAUAAAUUAACCCUAGACAACAAGUUCAUUAACCAAAUCUAAGUGCCACCGCAACAGAGACUCUCAAGCUAACCUAGUCCCAGACUCAAUCACCAUUGACGAGAGGUAACCUAACAGGCAUUACGAAUCAACAAGUUAAAGCCAAAACGCUCCCUGCAACCAAUACCUUGGUACAGGGUCACGAGUCUCUGGAAUUAGUGGUUCAGACAUUUCAUCGAACACCUUUUGGGCGCAGAAAUGUCUGGGCUCAAAUUCCAGUUGAUCAGAAAGCAAUAGGCAUUAAGAACAACUAAUCCAGAAGGGAUCUAUCAACCAAUACUCAAUCACCUAGCAUACUGAGAAUUCUACACUACUCUAACCCAUCCUUAGAAACCUAUUCACUACUCAGACAUCAUAACAGAAAGCAUAAACGUUGAACAAAUUGAAAACAUGAUAACAACAAUGUAACAACAGGAUGAUAACAGAAUGAACAACAGUAAACGAAAUCAAGAACAGAAACUGAAUACUGAAUACUGAAUAGAUAAAGAUAAAUCCGGAUUACAAAAAGUUUAGAACACAAAGUCUGCGGAAAUAAAACUAGAUAAAAACUUCUUGUCUGCGAAAAAUGAGAAGUACAUGCUACUUUUAGGCAAAUAUCCCGAAACCCUAAUACUCAAAACGACCUGGGGGUCGAGUGGUCUCUUGAGAUCUUGAAGCUCCUACUCGACCUCUUGGUCGAGUGGUUUUUCAUGAUCAGGUCCGCUUCUUCCAGAUAGCUCGUCAACAGCUCCAAAUCACCUGAAAUCAACGCAAAUAUGCAACAUGCACGCAAAACUAUCCUAAACAUGCAAAGUGAUGACAAAUGAUGUGAAAUGGUAUAAAACAGUGAUGAUAUGAUGCUAAAAUGAUGACAAAUGGAUGCUCAAAACAUGCAAAAUACACACUUAUCAACUCCCCCAAACUUAGUCUUUGCUUGCCCUCAAGCAAACAAUCAAGAACAAGCUGGAGGUGAGGUUUAAAAGCGGGGACUCAGAGCCAAAGCACCAGAUAGACCAGAUGAAAUCAAUGUCCAAGUUGGAAGUUCUAAGCUGCAAGAUCGAAUUCUACUUAAAAACGUUAGCCAUGCCUCAUCAUUCAGUCCGACUCAUAUGCUCGACCUACACAAGUUUUCAAAUCUACCAAUCCCUUUAACAUUCAUUAGUUCUGGAACGUGAAUCAAGCAAUGCAUCAUCAAAGAACUCAUUUGGCUAAGGUAAAAGGUCAAGAGACAAAGAUGGUCCCUUACAGAAUAGGCUUCAGUAACAGGGGAUCUCUCAAAAAAUGAUUAAGCUUUAGUAGAAUGCUAAAGGUAAGUCCCAAGCUAUGCAUACAGAGAUAAGAUCCCAUCUACCCAGAGUAUAUCAAAUGAAGCUCUAAUGGUAAUUCCAUCUCCAAUCCCAAUAUAAGAACUUAACUGUACCCUUUGCAUUCAUGAAUCUUUUAAGCCCUUUUCCUAAUCAUUCUUUUCUUUUCUCUUAACUCUUGGAGAAGCUUUCUCAACACUUUGUUACAUCUAGCGGAUUUGGAUUUCUUUAACAACUAAGGUUCCUGUUUUUAACAUUUUAAAACCAAGGGCUUUUGCCCAUCUUCAAUAGCUAACAAGAACUCUUUCUUUUCUUUACAAAUCCCAAAACCUUUACUAGACUUUUUCUGAUUCUUUAGCUUACUUCACCUAGAGUCUUUUACCUUUUCUUAUCAAUUAAUCAACCCCCUUUUUUUAU
Molecule: small RNA, 2288 nt
Filed under: Arabidopsis thaliana (thale cress)
Lineage: Eukaryota; Viridiplantae; Streptophyta; Magnoliopsida; Brassicales; Brassicaceae
Description: ATSL162060
Source: RNAcentral